CCCCGAGGAAAAGAAAUCAACCGAGAUUCCCCCAGUAGCGGCGAGCGAACGGGGAGCAGCCCAGAGUCUGAAUCAGCUUGUGUGUUAGUGGAACGGUCUGGAAAGUCCGACGGUACAGGGUGAUAGUCCCGUACACCAAAAUGCACAGGCUGUGAACUCGAAGAGUAGGGCGGGACACGUGGUAUCCUGUCUGAAUAUGGGGGGACCAUCCUCCAAGGCUAAAUACUCCUGACUGACCGAUAGUGAACCAGUACCGUGAGGGAAAGGCGAAAAGAACCCCGGCGAGGGGAGUGAAAAAGAACCUGAAACCGUGUACGUACAAGCAGUGGGAGCACCUUCGGGUGUGACUGCGUACCUUUUGUAUAAUGGGUCAGCGACUUAUAUUCUGUAGCAAGGUUAACCGUAUAGGGGAGCCGCAGGGAAACCGAGUCUUAACUGGGCGUUAAGUUGCAGGGUAUAGACCCGAAACCCGGUGAUCUAGCCAUGGGCAGGUUGAAGGUUGGGUAACACUAACUGGAGGACCGAACCGACUAAUGUUGAAAAAUUAGCGGAUGACUUGUGGCUGGGGGUGAAAGGCCAAUCAAACCGGGAGAUAGCUGGUUCUCCCCGAAAGCUAUUUAGGUAGCGCCUCGUGAAUUCAUCUUCGGGGGUAGAGCACUGUUUCGGCUAGGGGGUCAUCCCGACUUACCAACCCGAUGCAAACUACGAAUACCGAAGAAUGUUAUCACGGGAGACACACGGCGGGUGCUAACGUCCGUCGUGAAGAGGGAAACAACCCAGACCGCCAGCUAAGGUCCCAAAGUCAUGGUUAAGUGGGAAACGAUGUGGGAAGGCACAGACAGCCAGGAUGUUGGCUUAGAAGCAGCCAUCAUUUAAAGAAAGCGUAAUAGCUCACUGGUCGAGUCGGCCUGCGCGGAAGAUGUAACGGGGCUAAACCAUGCACCGAAGCUGCG
This 953-nucleotide ribosomal RNA is filed under the name Klebsiella variicola. RNAcentral's name for it is "partial 23S ribosomal RNA". It matches the Rfam family "Bacterial large subunit ribosomal RNA", at positions 209 to 1204 of the family's 2925-position model. The record is from RNAcentral. Lineage: Bacteria; Pseudomonadati; Pseudomonadota; Gammaproteobacteria; Enterobacterales; Enterobacteriaceae.